This 208-nucleotide long non-coding RNA is filed under the name Nicotiana benthamiana. RNAcentral's name for it is "long non-coding RNA (NBEN_LNC027870)". The record is from RNAcentral. Lineage: Eukaryota; Viridiplantae; Streptophyta; Magnoliopsida; Solanales; Solanaceae.
AUGCUUCCAAGUUUUAAAAAAAAAUCCAGAUUUCACAAAAUCAUGAAGAGCAGUUGAGCCCCUAAUGUCACCGCAGCUUCGACUCUCGACAAUGGUGCGCUUAGAACGUUUUUUCCUCAACUUCGAGUUUGCAGCAUCAGGUAUUAAACAGAUUCAAUUUGUGAAGGAUUUACCAUUUCAAACACGAACAAUGAACACCCAAGACCGC